UACGUAGGUGGCAAGCGUUAUCCGGAAUUAUUGGGCGUAAAGCGCGCGUAGGCGGUUUUUUACGUCUGCUGUGAAAGUCCACGGCUUAACCGCGGAGGGUCAGUGGAAACGGGAAAACUUGAGUGCAGUAGAGGAGAGUGGAAUUCCAGGUGUAGCGGUGAAAUGCGCAGAGAUAUGGAGGAACACCAGUGGCGAAGGCGAGUUUCUGGUCUGUAACUGACGCUGAUGUGCGAAAGCGUGGGGAUCAAACAGG
RNAcentral lists this ribosomal RNA (253 nucleotides) under uncultured bacterium. Its description in RNAcentral is "partial 16S ribosomal RNA". It matches the Rfam family "Bacterial small subunit ribosomal RNA", at positions 524 to 776 of the family's 1533-position model. The record is from RNAcentral.